This 240-nucleotide unclassified non-coding RNA is filed under the name soil metagenome. Its description in RNAcentral is "partial contains 5.8S ribosomal RNA, internal transcribed spacer 2, and large subunit ribosomal RNA". The record is from RNAcentral.
AAGACUAUAGACCUGCGGAGUACCUGCGGAGGGAUCAUUGCCACACUACGAUCCAAGAUCGACACUAUAAAAUGUGAACUGUUAAAUGUUAUUAUAUGUUGUUUCUAGUUGGUGAAACUAACAGCUUGCCACUAUAAAUAAUAUAUAUAUUUUUUAACACUAAACUUAACCAAAACCAUAUGAAAAAAUCAUUGGAAACUUUUCCAAGAGUAAUAACUCUAGAAAUCUUAAUUGUAAAAC